This 785-nucleotide ribosomal RNA is filed under the name uncultured bacterium. Its description in RNAcentral is "bacterial SSU rRNA". It matches the Rfam family "Bacterial small subunit ribosomal RNA", at positions 12 to 798 of the family's 1533-position model. The record is from RNAcentral.
UUUGAUCCUGGCUCAGAAUGAACGUUGGCGGCGUGGAUUAGGCAUGCAAGUCGAGCGAGAACCCGCAAGGGGGACAGCGGCAAACGGGGUAGUAACGGGUAGGCAACGUACCCUCGGGUCGGGGAUAGCCACGGGAAACUGUGGGUAAUACCCGAUAAUCUCUGCGGUGGUAAGUAUCGCAGAGCAAAGGUGUGAUUCCACCGGAGGAGCGGCCUGCUUCGUAUUAGCUAGUUGGUGAGGUAACGGCUCACCAAGGCGACGAUGCGUAGGGGGUGUGAGAGCAUGACCCCCACCACUGGGACUGAGAUACUGCCCAGACACCUACGGGUGGCUGCAGUCGAGAAUCUUCGGCAAUGGGCGCAAGCCUGACCGAGCGACGCCGCGUGUGGGAUGAAGGCCCUUGGGUUGUAAACCACUGUCAGAGGGGAUGAAAUGCGGGAGAGCUAUCUCUUCCGUUUGACAUAGCCUCAGAGGAAGCACGGGCUAAGUUCGUGCCAGCAGCCGCGGUAAUACGAACUGUGCAAACGUUAUUCGGAAUCACUGGGCUUACAGGGUGCGUAGGCGGUCUGUUAAGUAGGGUGUGAAAGCCCCCGGCUCAACCGGGGAAUUGCGCCCUAAACUGGCGGACUGGAGUGAGAUAGGGGUGUGCGGAACUUCCGGUGGAGCGGUGAAAUGUGUUGAUAUCGGAAGGAACGCCGGUGGCGAAAGCGGCACACUGGAUCUCNACUGACGCUGANGCACGAAAGCCAGGGGAGCGAACGGGAUUAGAUACCCCGGUAGUCCUG